RNAcentral lists this long non-coding RNA (245 nucleotides) under Brassica napus (rape). Its description in RNAcentral is "long non-coding RNA (BNAP_LNC009959)". The record is from RNAcentral. Lineage: Eukaryota; Viridiplantae; Streptophyta; Magnoliopsida; Brassicales; Brassicaceae.
UGAAAAGCCUUCUUUGAUCAGCUUCAAACAUCUUAACCUGAAAUUACUCAACACACAAGGUUGACAGAUAAAAAUAAUCCUCACACUCUUAAGUGUUUGAUCUCGCCCACUCAAGUGUUUCUCUCAGAAUUUGGAUAGUCUCAUAAACAAGUUUCCACUCAAGGUUCUAAGAAGAACAUAUCAAAGAAACACAAUGGACAAUUUCCAAGCAAACACAAGGGAAUUUCUUAAGAGAGAAAGAUAAG